CCAAGUGACUAACUGGUCUGCAUGUUCAAGGCCAUUCAGCCGCCUUAUUCAUGGGUCAACGAAGUUGGUUAACUACGCAGUAGGUAACUAGUUAAUCGAACGAGUUUGUCAUCGCUCUGCUUCUUCACACAGAUGCUGUUCCGAAGGCCUGUUCAAAAUGAAAAAUCCUAGGGCGUGCGAUUCAACAUUUGCCAAGGUUUCCCAAACGGAAUGAGCGCCAUUGUUUUCCAUCCAUCUGUAUUCAAGUCCAAGAGGUCUAGGGCGGGGGAAUUCUCUCCAAUGACAGGAUUCUAACGGCGCCACCGGAAUGAACAGGCCUCCAAGCUCGGCCAAGCACCCAUGAUAUGAUAUUUUUUUCACUAUUGAAGGUGUGCUCAAUUGAAGGUUCCCUAACCGGGUGUCAGGAUAUCUUUUUGCGGGCGGUGUUACACUGGGAGUGUAAGUCAGUAAAAUAACCCUCCUGAGCACUUCUUGUAGAACUCAUAAAAAAUGAAUGAAUGCU
RNAcentral lists this small RNA (502 nucleotides) under Histoplasma capsulatum. RNAcentral's name for it is "hypothetical RNA". RNAcentral also lists the same sequence under 1 other name. The record is from RNAcentral. Lineage: Eukaryota; Fungi; Ascomycota; Eurotiomycetes; Onygenales; Ajellomycetaceae.